GAUAACGCCCUAGUUCCCCGGGCAGAACAACUCCAUAGGCAUAGCUCCCAGGGUCCCCGCGAGGGGCCUGCCCAGUGAGUACUGCACUCAGGAAGCCCAAAGCUGUGGCUUUUUAGCAGAUGUUUAUAGCUUGUACAUAGAUCUCCGAGUACAGUUAGGGGUCAUUUUUACCAUAAGUAAUGCUGUCUUGAAACGGCUGACAUUCCGUUUCUAUCUAGCUUCCAAGGGAACAAAACCAGCCAGGUCACUGAAUGUCCAAUUCUGCAGGAGCGGAGAGGAUCUGUCACCCCUUCACUCAUACUGCCCUGACCUCUGGGGUCAGAAUUAAAUGUUAUUAAGGAAAACAAACAAACAAAAACUCAACUCUGAAAUUGUCUCACAAAGCCAAGCCUCCUAAUAGUCACCAGGGUCAUCCAGAGAAGCCGCAGUGGCCUCCAGCAGGCCCGCCGCACCCAUGCUGCCAUGCAGGCGAGACCACUCCAUGGACACCGACAGUCCAGCCACCCACAAAGUGGGGAGGCAUGUGGGAAAGUGGGACUGGGGACAGCGCUUCAACAGGAAGAGGACAACAGCUCCCCUGCUGAGGAACACUAGGAGGAAAAAAGCCAGGUGCUUCAGGAGGGAACUCCACAGCUGGAACCUCCCGCCCAAGGACUGACGGUCACAGCUAAGCAUCAGAACUGCGUGUUUGUGCCUGGCCUUUGACACAAGGCUGCUGCGGAUGCUUCCAGGGGCCGGCAGCCAACAAGCCCCAAUGUACAGACAGUGGGCCUGAGAUACCCAUGGGUGGCUGGGGCUGGCCACUGUCAAGGGUCGGGUGGGAAUCAACAGGCAGUCACUGGUAUGCAAGGGGAGGGCUCAACACAGGCCAGAGUGCCAUGGGGUCCAGAUGGCAAAGGCUGUGUCCACACUACUUGUCCCCUAAGUUCCAGAGUUAGCUGUCCCACGUAAUGGCCAAGCUCAGUCCCCACCCCCGCCCAUGUCCCUCUGCCCCUCAGCUGGCCUUCCUGGGCAGUUAGCACAGACACCCAUCCUUGAUGUGGUUUCAGGGAUCAUGGCCAUGGGGGGCCGCCAAGCGGAUACUCUCCAAAUAACGUGAAAACAGCCGUAUCCCCAGCCUCCCCCUGCCCCUCGUCCUUGGGCCCAGCUCACAUGCUUAACUUUAAAUUCAAGAGGCUCUUGUCUCCAGUGCCAACCUGGGAUUUGUCGAUAAGGUCACAGAUGUCCAGCGAGAGGAUCAAGAGGGGCUGCUUCUCCCACAACACUGGACUCACAUCUGCCACUGCCCUAGCUGCCUGCAGAGGACCCCCGAGAAAAGUGGAACUGAUGUCAGCUCACGUAAGGUCGUUAAAGAGCCCAGGGAGAUAUGUCAUACAGUGGUUUAAAGAGAUUUCCAGUGAGAAAGUUUUGGCACCCAG
RNAcentral lists this long non-coding RNA (1418 nucleotides) under Equus asinus (donkey). Its description in RNAcentral is "lncRNA (ENSEASG00005026932.1)". Lineage: Eukaryota; Metazoa; Chordata; Mammalia; Perissodactyla; Equidae. The record is from RNAcentral.